Molecule: ribosomal RNA, 855 nt
Filed under: Wolbachia endosymbiont of Lipoptena fortisetosa
Lineage: Bacteria; Pseudomonadati; Pseudomonadota; Alphaproteobacteria; Rickettsiales; Anaplasmataceae
Description: bacterial SSU rRNA
Rfam family: Bacterial small subunit ribosomal RNA
Source: RNAcentral
UAUGGUAUAACUUAGUGGCAGACGGGUGAGUAAUGUAUAGGAAUCUACCUAGUAGUACGGAAUAAUUGUUGGAAACGGCAACUAAUACCGUAUACGCCCUACGGGGGAAAAAUUUAUUGCUAUUAGAUGAGCCUAUAUUAGAUUAGCUAGUUGGUGGAGUAAUAGCYUACCAAGGCAAUGAUCUAUAGCUGAUCUGAGAGGAUGAUCAGCCACACUGGAACUGAGAUACGGUCCAGACUCCUACGGGAGGCAGCAGUGGGGAAUAUUGGACAAUGGGCGAAAGCCUGAUCCAGCYAUGUCGCAUGAGUGAAGAAGGCCUUUGGGUUGUAAAGCUCUUUUAGUGAGGAAGAUAAUGACGGUACUCACAGAAGAAGUCCUGGCUAACUCCGUGCCAGCAGCCGCGGUAAUACGGAGAGGGCUAGCGUUAUUCGGAAUUAUUGGGCGUAAAGGGCGCGUAGGCUGAUUAAUAAGUUAAAAGUGAAAUCCCGAGGCUYAACYUUGGAAUUGCUUUUAAAACURYUAAYCUAGAGAUUGAAAGAGGAUAGAGGAAUUCCUGAUGUAGAGGURAAAUUCGUAAAUAUUAGGAGGAACACCAGUGGCGAAGGCGUCUAUCUGGUUCAAAUCUGACGCUGAGGCGCGAAGGCGUGGGGAGCAAACAGGAUUAGAUACCCUGGUAGUCCACGCUGUAAACGAUGAAUGUUAAAUAUGGGAAGUUUACUUUCUGUAUUACAGCUAACGCGUUAAGCAUUCCGCCUGGGGACUACGGUCGCAAGAUUAAAACUCAAAGGAAUUGACGGGGACCCGCACAAGCGGUGGAGCAUGUGGUUUAAUUCGAUGCAACGCGAAAAACCUUAC